CAUUAGUGAAUGUAGGCGCCAGGUGUGCCCGCCAGGUUAUGAGCGUCGGGUCCAUUGUGGUGUGCAGUUGGAUCUGUCCGAUGAGCGCUGGCGCCAAGAUUUGGACCCGGCACAUUUGUGCUGCUGGAUGUACUUCAGUGGCUUUCCACUACAGCAUCUGAACGUACGCUGUUGUGUGGCUGAUUAAGUGUAAAGAGAAGAAAAGUCAUUUCAGGUCUGAGGGUCUCACACGCCACCAACAACGAGCUAGAAAAGGCUUUUUACACACCGAUCAGCUGCAUGGAGGCAUUAGCAGAAGCAAAACAGUGACGUUAUGGCCCUAAUGAUGACCAAUUUGAAGACCCCGGAGGACCCCAGCUGUGUCCAGGACCAGACGUAUUGGUCCGUGAUGAGCUAAACCAAUCCUAUUUACCCAUUCACUUUCUCCCCAUUCUGUAAGAGCCAGCCAUACGCAAACGCAUAUGCAUAAUGGCGAAAUAAUGGAAUCUUCUAAUAAUUUGUUUGGGCCGGGGCGGAAAGCAAAAGGACGGCAAGUCGGAGGCUGGCUUUCUAAAUGACAUGCCCUGUGGCCUAACACGAUUAGAAUUUAAACCAUGAGAGUGCUGAGACCUUCUUCAAGGGCCGAGAUGAAAUAUUGAGAUUGCCAUUGUGGCGUUUGCUCUCUUGCCGGCUUGCUGUGACAUUCCCUCACUCUGACACUUGUCUGCCAAUCAAAGUGACGGACAGCUAACACGGAGAGAACAAAAACGAGGUCCGCUGAGCCGGUUUGUUUCCAUUGACUUGUUGGUGAAGGAGGUUGAGCAAAAAACCGAAACCUGCAGACACUUUACUGAGUUGAUGUUACAUGGUUUAAUUUGAUGGUGACGUUGGAGUGGUAAUCUUGUCAUUUUGAGUUUCUGUCUGUAAAGGCUGCUAAAAAUGGAAAAGGCUCUAGCCAAAUGUUGUAUGAUCUGUGAGAGAAUGGAGAUUCCAGAUUAUCAGUCUCAUUCUAUACUGUAAGGAACAGUUUUAACAAAUACGUUAAAAAAAAAAUCAAACAUUUUAUUUUGCCAAGGGGAAUUCCUACAAGUAAUCCAUUGGGUAUGAACACAAGCAAGUACAACUAUAAAUCUGGUCUCUGAGCUACAAAAGUUUGACAGGUUUUAUUGAAAUGUCUUAAUAGGUAAUAUAUUAGGUUCAGCAUCAUUGCCCAAAAACCUAUUGGGGCUAUUACUCUGCAGGUUCGAAUCCUGCCAGCAGCGGCAAAAUGCGUAAGCACUAACCAGGUAGGAUUUAGCAACACACCAAUACAUUCUUUGUCAACGAGGGGCAGCAAGUGAGUCAGAACAAAGACUUGUACAGGUUUGGAUAAGCAAUCUUACUCCCAGAAGGAGCAAAAUAUCAAUAAAUAGCACUUUUUUUAAAUUUUAGAAACAAUUAAAAAAGUUCUUUACAAACUAAAACUCUAUAAAAUAACUCAAUGAAAUGUCCUUGCAGUUCAGGAUGGGAUUGUUCUCUGAAUUCUCAAUUAAAGAACUCUUCAGAAGCCCGAUCCAUGUCCGGUCCAAUCCAGGAGGAGAAGAAGGAACCUCUUGGCUCCACCCUGCGGCCGGCCGCCUCCGUUGGCUCUGUCGCACUGCAGACCCGCUGAGAUUCACGACGCGUGCCUCUGGCUUACCAAUGGGCUUCAGAAACACCGUCGACAAACUAACAGCAGAUAUUGCUGGCCACAUAUUACACGGCGCAACUCGUUCCACAAAAAUCAAUGUUUGACAACUGAUGCGGCGCAAAAGCUUUACUUAUAACAUGCUUACGAUGCUGCGGCUCGAUGUGUGAAUACUUGUAGCUUUUUUAUUCAGUGUUGACACAUAAUUAGGAGUUUAUUUUGGCGGUUAUGUAAAAUUCCAGUGUCCUAUUUGGAGGUUAGUUUAGGAGUGUGUCCACACACUGCGGCUGCACUGUAGGGAUUCUCAUACACUUACAUACAUGGAGCCAGCUUGGCUGCUGCAGUAAAAACGCAAGUGAGCAGUGAGUGUGGCUAUAGCUCUGCUGCGUUAAGGUUCAAACUAUCGAACAUUGAGCCUUUGAUGCUUCCCCACCUUGCUGGCGCCUGACUCAAAGUGAUGCCCUCUGUCCAUUAAGGCUCCAUCUAUCUGCUCCAUCCGUCUCCGAUUUCUCUUUUUUCUUUUCUUCAGGAAAAUUGUCUUGCAUGUUUGCUCUGAUUUUCAUGCUUCAACUCAUAAAAAGUACAAGUUGAAGUGGCGGGAGUAUUUUAUAUUGAAAACUAGUCGAUGUUUUUCCUUGGUAAAUAUGUUUCCAACGGCGUGAAAUUUACUUCAGAGCUUGGUUACAACUUGAGUAAUUGACAGAUGGAAAAAAGUAGCAAAAAAAAAAAAUAAAAAAUCAGUUCAUACAUUAAGUUGUGCAUAAUUAAAUGAAACGACAAAGGGAAUAAAUAUUGAGUGAAAUGAGGCACAGACAAUGCAUGGAUAGUUAGUCUCGCCUAAAAACCAGUUUGUCACUGCAAACGUAUUGAGACAAAUAUGUUGGGUAAAAGCAAAGAACUUUCUCAAGAAUUUUGCAACCUUGUUGUUGCCAAACAUAUGGUGGGCAAUUGAGUCUAACCUCCUGAAUUUUCCAAUAAACACUUCUAGGGAAGUUUCAUGAUACUCUAUAGAAUAACCAGAAGAACCUGUUAGUGAGCCAGCGACCACCUGCAGAGAGCGUCAGAAAGACCUGGAAUACGGUUUAUCCAUGAAAAGGUUGUGUAAGGUUCUCAAAAGGACUGGCCUUUUAGCACGUUAGAUGUGAAGCACUCCACUGCUGGAGAAAAAGAAAACUUAAAUUUGCUCUAGAACAACUAGUAACAAGGACAUGUCAUCAGAACAGGAGAAUAGUCUGGUUCGAUGAGGCAGUGUGGAUUUCUAUACAUGUUUAAAAAUGGCACCGCACACCACUGGGGUUCAAGGAGGAAACAUCGCGGUGUCACGUCGUCUCCCUGCAUCUGGUUCAAGCAGCUUCUUCCAUGUAGGUUUUUCUGACUUAUUUGGAUGAAUCGAUAUUUAAUCUUGAUGACUAAUUGACACUGUAUAAACAACACUAAACAAUGUAACAGUGUAACUAACCCCCUGAGAAAGCAUAGACCUGCCCCAGACAAAUUUUGACUUUUUUCUUACAAAUUUACAAAAUUUGCUCUAAAACAUAAAGACAGAGCCGUAAACAGCCUACAGUUUAUUGACAAAAUAAGUUAAGGGGUUAGUUGCACUUUAAGUUUUUUGUAAAAUAGUAUAAGAAUGCUAUUUCUGGUGCUACAUACCUUACACAAGUUCUAGUCAAAUGUCAAACAUUACUGAAUCUCAUGCUGCAUCAUGCAGACGCUCUGUCUGCAGUACGCUGUUGAAGACUUACUCAUCUCAGCAUGCUGAAUGCAUGAAAUGCCUCCAGCUGAUGUCAGUCAGACCUAUUUCCUGUAAUUCAACUAAUAACUAUUUAACCACUUCGUGUCUCUUGAUUAGAUUGUGUGCAAAAUAUUUUACUCUCCACCAAAGACGGUCAGGUAAGCGCAGUGAAUACAGAAACAGAACAAAUACAUAUACAUAUACACCAACAUCUGUGAUGAUGGCAAAAUAUUUCUACAAUAACUGUUCACCCCGUGUUAAACAGAAGUAACACUGUUUUAAAAAAAACUUCAUCUGGACAAAUGUGGUGGUAUUUCUGUAACUUUCUCACUUUUAUGUUGGGCUGUAGAGCAGAAGAGAAACUGUGUUUGGCACAGCCAGCAGAAGCUCAUGAUUAUUUGAAUAUUGUCUCCCUCAUGAAUAAUACAAAAUAUCGCUUGCUAGGUGGGGAUCGCUCUCUCUCUCGCUCUCUCUCUCUCAUUUAGGGUGCGAGUGUGUGUACGAAACAGUGUGUGUGUUGCGUGUGCGAGCACCAGCACCUGUGCUUGACCUUUUAUGUAACAAUAAAUAAAGAAACCUGCCAACACAGUAUUUUUGGUGCAUUCACUCUGAUCUCUGAGUCCGUUUGCAUACGUAAUCCACAUUAUUCUGUUGGCUUUUGAGAGUGGGAGAGAGAGUGGGAGGAGGUUAAAAGGUUGCAGG
Xiphophorus couchianus (Monterrey platyfish) is the source of this 4079-nucleotide long non-coding RNA. RefSeq lists it as uncharacterized. The record is from RefSeq and is a predicted model, not a curated record. The transcript has 3 exons. Lineage: Eukaryota; Metazoa; Chordata; Actinopteri; Cyprinodontiformes; Poeciliidae.